GGGUCUGUAGCUCAAUUGGCAGAGCGCCCAGUUCGCACCUGGGAAGAUGUCGGUUCGACUCCGAUCAGUAUCCACCA
RNAcentral lists this transfer RNA (77 nucleotides) under Cyanobacteria bacterium UBA8803. RNAcentral's name for it is "tRNA-Ala". It matches the Rfam family "tRNA". Rfam says of the family: Transfer RNA (tRNA) molecules are approximately 80 nucleotides in length. The record is from RNAcentral. Lineage: Bacteria; Bacillati; Cyanobacteriota. RNAcentral also lists the same sequence under 1 other name.